This is a small nucleolar RNA of Lactuca sativa (garden lettuce), 107 nucleotides long. NCBI's taxonomy places the organism in Eukaryota, Viridiplantae, Streptophyta, Magnoliopsida, Asterales, Asteraceae. The record is from RefSeq and is a predicted model, not a curated record.
AGGUCAUGUUGAGGACAAUUCCUUAACAACCCCUUGUACUGCUCACAUGCCUCGUAAAAUGACUCCCCUGGUUUUUGCUCAAAAUUGGUUAUUGCCUUCUUGAGUUU